GACGAACGCUGGCGGCGUGCUUAACACAUGCAAGUCGAGCGGUAAGGCCCUUUCGGGGGUACACGAGCGGCGAACGGGUGAGUAACACGUGGGUGACCUGCCCUUAGCUCUGGGAUAAGCCUGGGAAACGUGGGUCUAAUACCGGAUAUGACUCCAUGACGCAUGUUGGUGGGGUGGAAAGCCUUGUGCGGCUAGGGAUGGGCCCGCGGCCUAUCAGCUUGGUUGGGUGGGGUGAUGGCCACCAAGGCGACGACGGUAGCCGGCCUGAGAGGGCGACCGGCCACACUGGGACUGAGACACGGCCCAGACUCCUACGGGAGGCAGCAGGUGGGGAAUCUUGCGCAAUGGGCGAAAGCCUGACGCAGCGACGCCGCGUGAGGGAUGACGGCCU
RNAcentral lists this ribosomal RNA (391 nucleotides) under uncultured bacterium. RNAcentral's name for it is "bacterial SSU rRNA". It matches the Rfam family "Bacterial small subunit ribosomal RNA", at positions 28 to 417 of the family's 1533-position model. The record is from RNAcentral.